UACGAAGGGGGCUAGCGUUGUUCGGAAUUACUGGGCGUAAAGCGCGCGCAGGCGGUCUUCCAAGUCAGUGGUGAAAGCCCGGAGCUCAACUCCGGUACUGCCAUUGAAACUGUUGGACUUGAGUACGAGAGAGGUGAGUGGAAUUCCCAGUGUAGAGGUGAAAUUCGUAGAUAUUGGGAAGAACACCGGUGGCGAAGGCGGCUCACUGGCUCAUUACUGACGCUCAGGCGCGAUAGCGUGGGGAUCAAACAGG
RNAcentral lists this ribosomal RNA (253 nucleotides) under uncultured bacterium. Its description in RNAcentral is "partial 16S ribosomal RNA". It matches the Rfam family "Bacterial small subunit ribosomal RNA", at positions 524 to 776 of the family's 1533-position model. The record is from RNAcentral.